Molecule: long non-coding RNA, 820 nt
Organism: Ostrinia furnacalis (Asian corn borer)
Lineage: Eukaryota; Metazoa; Arthropoda; Insecta; Lepidoptera; Crambidae
Exons: 3
Source: RefSeq, a predicted model, not a curated record
AAGUUCCCAGAAAUUUUUGGUAGUAGAUGACCGCUGGGGAGUUUUGUCACCAAGAUUUCAUAAGAUUUUUGGUCUGUGUUUCUUUGUCAAUUUGGGCGUGUUCCUUUACAUGUAUGGAGAUAUGCUAUUUUUGACAUCAACGUUGGUAAAUUUAGCGUUAUCUGUGAUAUUUCUUUAAUCUGUGAGCGUUUUGUGAGCGAUGUAAAAAAAUGUUGAAAUGGAACACUCUCAGUUUGACAUGAGCCGUCAAAUGUCGGAUUUUUGAAGUUUUUAUUUUUUAUAGAAGAAAUAUUCUUCAAGUUAUGUUGUGCUCUUAUGUUUAUCUUACAAUACAUUAACCAAUUGACCUAAUGAAUAAAAAAAAUAAGUAGGUUAUCGCUUUAAUUACGGAAAUAUGACAUACUUUAGCUCUCAGUUUGAUAUGAGCCGUCACACGUCCGAUUUUUAAAGUUUUUAUUUUUUAUAGAAGAAACAUUCUACAAGAUGUUGAAAGAGGCGACUAAAGGACAAAUCAUUAUGCAUCAGGCCUCCCCAACGAGACUGACCAGCGUGGGAAUUGCGACCGGUUUUGAGUUAUCGAGACAGGUCGGGCGCCAUCCCGUCCGGUAUGUCAUCAUGCGACGAGGAAAUUUCAAAUGGAGCCGGCGGAAAAAGUGGUGCUAGGUUUCCGUUCAUCCAUAUUUAGAUAUUUGAGAUAGUAGGUUUAUUUUACUACUUCUCGAAUAGUUUUGUUUGUGAGAGUAUGUUUACAUUAGAAUAUUGAAGGUAACUAACUGUCUUUGACACUACAAGUACUGUAAAUAAAUAAAUAUUAUCCUUA